UGCCAGCCGCCGCGGUAAUACGGAGGGGGCUAGCGUUGUUCGGAAUUACUGGGCGUAAAGCGCACGUAGGCGGUUUGACAAGUUGAGGGUGAAAGCCCGGAGCUCAACUCCGGAAUUGCCCUCAAAACUGUUUCACUUGAGUCCGGGAGAGGGUAGUGGAAUUUCCAGUGUAGAGGUGAAAUUCGUAGAUAUUGGAAAGAACACCAGUGGCGAAGGCGGCUGCCUGGCCCGGAACUGACGCUGAGGUGCGAAAGCGUGGGGAGCAAACAGGAUUAGAUA
This 279-nucleotide ribosomal RNA is filed under the name uncultured bacterium. RNAcentral describes it as "partial 16S ribosomal RNA". It matches the Rfam family "Bacterial small subunit ribosomal RNA", at positions 506 to 784 of the family's 1533-position model. The record is from RNAcentral.